GUGGAAGGUAUCAUAGUAGAGAGACUGUGGGAGCCAUGGGUCAGCUGAGUCUCUUCUCAUUGUUAUUCUCCCGCAAGGACUUGUGGGGCCCUGCCCCAUAUUUUAUUUACUCUUGGAUUGGCCAACAGGGCAUGCUGGGUGAAUGCUUGCUGAAUGAAUAAUGGGAAUGGGGUGGAGCAGCAUCUCCUUGGCCUUCUGUGAGGUCUGCCUUCUGCACAGAGGCCUCUACUUCCAUGCGCUUCGUCCGCUCCGCUCCGUUAACCGCACCCUCCCUCCCCUCCACAGGUCUGCAAUGUCCAGCCAACAGUCGCUACACUGACUGCGUCCCCCUCUGUCCCCCUUCUUGCUCGGACCCAGAGGGCCGCUGCGAAGGCCCUGGCCCCACAGUCCCCUCCAUUUGCAAGGAAGGCUGUCUCUGCCACCCUGGCUUUGUACUUGAUUGGGACAAGUGCGUGCCCAGAAUUGAGUGUGGCUGCAAAGACACGCAGGGUGCUCUCAUUCCGGCAGGCAAGACCUGGAUUCCUAGAGGCUGUACCCAGAGCUGUACCUGCAUAGGAGGGGCCGUUCAGUGCCAGAAUUCCGAGUGUCCCCCAGGGACUUACUGCAAGGACAACAUUGAUGGCAGCGGAACUUGUGUCAAAAUCACUCUGCAGUGCCCCGCCCACAGCAACUACACCGAUUGCCUUCCCACCUGUCUCCCUUCCUGCUUGGACCCCAGUGCCCACUGUGGGGAGCCCAGCCCUAAAGACCCCUCUACUUGCAAGGAGGGCUGCGUCUGUCAACCUGGCUACAUGCUGGAUAAAGACAAGUGUGUCCUUAAAGUUGAGUGUAGCUGCAGAGACAACCAGGGUGCUGUCAUUCCGGUGAGUGAGCAUGGAAAUAUCACACACACACACACACACACACACACACACACACACACACACACAC
Molecule: long non-coding RNA, 930 nt
Filed under: Rattus norvegicus (Norway rat)
Lineage: Eukaryota; Metazoa; Chordata; Mammalia; Rodentia; Muridae
Description: long non-coding RNA NONRATT033957
Source: RNAcentral